UGAAAAGCACAGAAAACUUACAAGGAACUCAGAAGGUGACAGUGCAGGUCAGGAUUGUGCUUCAUGAUGAUAUAUCCAUAGGAAUGUAGAAAGCUGCCUGAUUUUAACUUGAUAUUUUCAUUGCCGGAUCUCAGGAUGAAGUGUUCAACAGAUGACUAUAGUAAAAAUUGCCAAGGUCUCCAUAAAAGUAAGUGCUGUGUCAAAUGUUUAAAAAUGUUGGGAUUCAAUCCUGCUGUAACCUAUAUUGGUGUAGAUGUGGAACAAGUUUGCUGCUGUUUCACUGACAGAACUAUGCCUAUAAAUUUCUAUCUGAAAUGCAAUUUCACAAAGUAA
Molecule: long non-coding RNA, 333 nt
Organism: Phasianus colchicus (ring-necked pheasant)
Lineage: Eukaryota; Metazoa; Chordata; Aves; Galliformes; Phasianidae
Source: Ensembl